This is a long non-coding RNA of Physeter macrocephalus (sperm whale), 273 nucleotides long. RefSeq lists it as uncharacterized. The transcript has 3 exons. The record is from RefSeq and is a predicted model, not a curated record. Lineage: Eukaryota; Metazoa; Chordata; Mammalia; Artiodactyla; Physeteridae.
CUCAUCACCUCUGGUUGCUAUGACCCAGUGACUGCUGGUUUAGUGUGAUGUCAAGGUCAAUUGGACUUCACUGUCAUGUUUCAGAAGCAGAUUGUGAAACUCCUAGAGAAAGAGUGAAGAAACACAUAAGUUGUCUCUGAAGGCUUGUCCUUACACUGUAGUGAAGCUUUGGAAAUGAAGCUCACAGUAUGAAGAGGACACAUAUCGAGAAGACCUUUUCCAAACUUUCAUUGUAUCAAGAAUAGAGGGACUUCCCUGGUGGCGCAGUGGUUA